Molecule: ribosomal RNA, 497 nt
Filed under: uncultured bacterium
Lineage: Bacteria
Description: partial 16S ribosomal RNA
Rfam family: Bacterial small subunit ribosomal RNA
Source: RNAcentral
GAUGAACGCUGGCGGCGUGCCUAAUACAUGCAAGUCGAGCGAACGGACGAGAAGCUUGCUUCUCUGAUGUUAGCGGCGGACGGGUGAGUAACACGUGGAUAACCUACCUAUAAGACUGGGAUAACUUCGGGAAACCGGAGCUAAUACCGGAUAAUAUUUUGAACCGCAUGGUUCAAAAGUAAAAGACGGUCUUGCUGUCACUUAUAGAUGGAUCCGCGCUGCAUUAGCUAGUUGGUAAGGUAACGGCUUACCAAGGCAACGAUGCAUAGCCGACCUGAGAGAGGGAUCGGCCACACUGGAACUUAGACACGGUCCAGACUCCUACGGGAGGCAGCAGUAGGGAAUCGUCCGCAAUGGGCGAAAGCCUGACGGAGCAACGCCGCGUGAGUGAUGAAGGUCUUCGGAUCGUAAAACUCUGUUAUUAGGGAAGAACAUAUGUGUAAGUAACUGUGCACAUCUUGACGGUACCUAAUCAGAAAGCCACGGCUAACUACGUG